Molecule: non-coding RNA, 465 nt
Organism: Odocoileus virginianus texanus
Lineage: Eukaryota; Metazoa; Chordata; Mammalia; Artiodactyla; Cervidae
Source: RefSeq, a predicted model, not a curated record
AAAUGAUUGACAAGGCCAUUCAUAAGUUGAUUUUAACAUACCUUCAAUGUGCUCACUUUCAGUGAUCAACAGAUGUAAAGUUCUUCAGGAAAUUAUAUACAACUGUUUCUGGAUCAUAGUAGAAGCCUUAUACAUAGCAUAAAAAUCAUUUACAUUUAAAAUUAUCUGUGAUCAGACUCCAUGGAACUACAAUGGACCCUGAAAGAGAAGACCACGCAUCAGCCAGAAAUCCUGGAGUAGAUGACACAAGGAAAAAGAACUUUGUGGAUUCUCUGUGUGAAUUAAAAAAAAAAAUGUGCAGGUAUUUUUUGAACCAUGGCAGAGACUGUAGCAGCCCUCUAAUCUCUUUUUACAAUGUAAGUGUGUUUAGGUGGGCAAUGAUCACACAACUAAAGAGUUUUUCCAACUUUUCUGCAGAAAGGAGUGGCACUGUGCCUAGGUUCUGACUAUUGCAAUGUAAAUGUU